This is a long non-coding RNA of Lycium barbarum (goji berry), 938 nucleotides long. RefSeq lists it as uncharacterized. The record is from RefSeq and is a predicted model, not a curated record. The transcript is spliced from 2 exons. NCBI's taxonomy places the organism in Eukaryota, Viridiplantae, Streptophyta, Magnoliopsida, Solanales, Solanaceae.
CACAUCAACGGCGCCUCUUCACCCCUUUUACCCAUUUCCUUUUUCAGAAAAUAGUCAAACCUUUAAGCCUAAAUGAAGCUUUUGAUUUUCCAUUCUCGAAUAAUUUUCCAGAUGCCCCUGCAUCUCUGUUCCCUCGUUUCCUCUUUCAAAGAAUUGCCAAACCCCUUAAGUCGAAAGGAAGCUUUUCUUUUGCCAUUCUUGAAUGCUCUUCCAGAUCGCCUCUCUGUAUCAUGUCCAUUUUCACGCUUCAAGGGGUACGAAUCUCUCCUUUCCAGCGAGGGUCUCAAUAUUUUGGGCAAAGCGUUCAAAAUUUCAACGUCCAUAUUCAAAUGGUUGACCCCUUAAUUCAAAAAUCCCGCUCAAAAAUCUAAACCCUAGUUUCGUCCUAUAUAUACUAGCGUUUGGAGUUAAUUGAAAAAAAAAGGGGAACGCCAUCACAUUUCCACCAUAACCAAAAUUUGCAUAUCAUUUUACAUUACUGUAUUUUAUCUUUGGUUUGAAAGCUUCGGUUAAUCCGAGCGUGUCCGCAUUCAUCUUCUUUUGAGCGUGGAUCUGUGACCUAAAGUCUUAGUUCACUGCCUCCGAAAAAGGUACUUUACAUACUAGUACAUUCAAUGUGCUGACGUCCCCUUUCUAUUGCCCGGGGGCCUGCAUUUCACGAUGCAGGUAUUGAUUGACAGGACAGCAGAUUUGCUCGUUAGGACAUUGCUCGUAUAAGUUUUUGGUGAGCCCCAUCUCAUUCGGGGUUCUGUCUUUACUUCUAUUUAUGUCAGUUAUGCAUUUAAGGUAUGCCGAGGGCCUUGUCCCGGUGAACAAUUUAGCAGACAGAUUCGCGUCAGAGGGUUCAUAGACUAGUCAGUUGUCAUGUUCAGUUAAAUUGGCCUUAAUGGCAUUCAUGAUAUGAUAAUAAUAAUAUUUUCAGACUUAUGAUUAUUGAA